UACGUAGGGAGCAAGCGUUGUCCGGAAUCAUUGGGCGUAAAGCGCGCGUAGGCGGCCCUGUAAGUCCGUUGUGAAAGUCAAAGGCUCAACCUUUGAAAGCCGAUGGAUACUGCAGGGCUAGAGUCCGGAGGAGGCGAGUGGAAUUCCUGGUGUAGCGGUGGAAUGCGCAGAUAUCAGGAGGAACACCAAUAGCGAAGGCAGCUCGCUGGGACGGUACUGACGCUAAGGCGCGAAAGCGUGGGGAGCGAACAGG
RNAcentral lists this ribosomal RNA (253 nucleotides) under uncultured bacterium. RNAcentral describes it as "partial 16S ribosomal RNA". It matches the Rfam family "Bacterial small subunit ribosomal RNA", at positions 524 to 776 of the family's 1533-position model. The record is from RNAcentral.